UUGACAAACGCUAUGUCUUUAUAGAUGUAGAGGAAAGUCCAUGCUCACACAGUCUGAAAUGAUUGUAGUGUUCGUGUCUAGGAAAAAAAUAACCUAGAGUAGGGCUCACGCUCUAACGGCGAAGUAAAGAUCUAAGUCUUUUGAUAUGAUCUUCUUCUGAAAAGUGCCGCAGUGACGAAUCUUUGGGAAACUAAAGAGUGAAACGUGGUAAACCCCGCGAGUGAGAAACCCAAAUUAUGGUAGGGGAGCUUUGAUUAGGAAAUAACAACCGAGUCAGGGACUGAGAAAUCAGUAGAUAAAUGUUUGUCACCUAGCAAUAGGUACAGAACAUGGCUUAUAA
This 340-nucleotide RNase P RNA is filed under the name bovine gut metagenome. RNAcentral describes it as "Bacterial RNase P class B". It matches the Rfam family "Bacterial RNase P class B". Rfam says of the family: Ribonuclease P (RNase P) is a ubiquitous endoribonuclease, found in archaea, bacteria and eukarya as well as chloroplasts and mitochondria. Its best characterised activity is the generation of mature 5'-ends of tRNAs by cleaving the 5'-leader elements of precursor-tRNAs. The record is from RNAcentral.